CAAAAUGCAACCACUAUGAGUCGACUAGUCAAUUACAUCCCAAAAUUUUAAUCAGAAGUAAACAAGUCGGCUCUCCCCAAAAUUCUUUCCAUUCCGAGCUCCUGUUAAGGAAAAACAAACUAAUGGGAUGAGCUGACGCUCAGUGAGACCAAAAAAAACAUGCAAAUACAUAGUUCACAUACCCAUGACAUUUGUACGAAAAUUAAAAUAAGAAAAUUCAAGUAAUUCACAAAUAAUAAUAACACACAUUCAAUAAGGAUACAGGAGCUCUCAGGAGUUAGGUUCCACAUGUUUCGCCAAGGCUCGAUCAAAUACUUUCCCGCGAUGACACUCCGUCAACCGGGUAGGUAUUAAGUGCGUAAAACUCCACUUACUCUGCUCUCCUGUUCACCGUUACACCCUUGCUCUGGGCCCGCACUUCUUUUAUAAAAGGCACUACUCCACGAGUAUGUCAAGCGAGAUCUCUUAAUAGAUCAAGCUUUUGAUUAUCUCAUGGUUCACCGAGCUUCGCGAGCAAGCCCAUGCUGGCUCGAAUCGCAAGGUCGGUCAAUUGAGAUUUAGGCGUCCCCCGAUUAUUAUUAUGAGUCGAUGAGAUUCACUCCAAUCGACAAAUACAAUUAUAAGCCGAUGAGAUUCACUCCAAUCGGCAUGUUCAACCACAAAUAUAAAUUCAACUAUGAGCAAUUCAAUUGUAUAAUCAAUUAAAAGAGAACGAGUGCGAUAAAGUACACACUUGACUCGACAAUUGUAAAUCAGAUAAUCAAUAAGAAGCAAUUCACAUAAUUGGCAACUAUUCAUGCACUUGACACUCACCAAUUCAAAAUAAGUGAGUAAGUGCAAAUAAGAUCUUUAGUGGUCAGCUCCGAGGUUCUCUUCAAAAUUCUCUUGAGUGCCUGAAGAAAUAACAUUUAACUAUCACUCACAAAUAUUUACAAACCCCUUGCCAAAUAAGGAAGAAUGUAUACUUGCGUAAUAUUAAGACAACGUCUUAAAAGAGUUUUAAUAUCUCGAAAAUCGAGAUUCAAAAGUGAGAAUUUAAAGUCACAAGACAAACUUGCAUCCUUCAUGAAAAUGAGUUUAAAACGGAUGAUCGAUAUCGAAAGACAAUGAAAAGUUCUCAAAACUCAUUUCCCAAGAAAUCAUGAAUUUUCAGCUUUGCGCGAUAAAUUUUGUAAAAUCAGAUCUGGAGUUCAGUAUGACCAAAAAUGGAAAAAUUUAUACCGUUGUAAACUAAAUUCAAAGUACUAAAAGUUUCUAGAAAACACUUUUCCAAGAUUCUAAACGGAGAACCUUCAUAUUUCAGCUCAAAUUUGCUGAUUGAAGAAGGUAAGACAGAACCAGUCUUGGUUUUCGGCGAUAUUUGGAAAUUCGGAAAAAUUCACAAAAAAUGAAUCAGCCUUUGAAAUUUGUAACACAAUAAGAGUCCUAUACAAAGUUUCAAGCACAACAAACGGAACAAAAUUCGGAGUUUUGAACAACAAGAUAUAACAGUUUAAAUUCGGUUGAUUUUUGUAAUCUGAUCAGUGAAUUUUCAGAUUUGAGAAGCAAUGUUUGGGGCAUUAUUUGGGCAUCGAAAUGGUAUUGAAAUUAUACCAAAUUUGGUACACUUAAACCUCCAUAUGUGGACUACCUCUCUAUCAAAGUUUAGAUUGAAACUCACACGGGAAGGUAGUUAACGAAACGACCAAAGUUUGCGAAAUGUUUCAAAGCUAAUCUGCCACCCUACUUCUCUUUCUUUUUCAAACGUUUUGUCCAACGAAGCCAGCCCCAAUUCGCUCCAUUUUUUAAACCAAGAUCCCAAAAACAUUUAAUAAGCAAUUUAUGGUUAAAUAAGACUAAAAUUUUGGAAAUAUAAUAUCCCAAAACAGAUUUUACCAUUUGGUCAGCAAGGAAGGGAAAAGUUUCCAGUUUCCAGUUCUGUCGCAUUUCCGAAAUCAAACCAUAUCUAGCUCUGUACAACUCCAAAUUGAGAAUGGUUUACGGCAUUGGAAACUAGGUUCCAAAUUCUACAAUUCAUCAGGAGACAUCAUUUUGAAAAUAUUUUCACAAAUGGGACAAAAUCAAGCCACAAGAUGCAGCUUCCCAGUUUCAUUCGAACAGACAGUCAAAACAGAACAGCCAACUUUUUGGACUCAUUACGGUUCACUCAAAAUGAACUACAGGGGAUUUUUAUACCGUUGGAAAGCUAUGAAUGUCUAGUUUUGAAUGCUAAUUUUGAAUUUUAUAAAAAGAGUUAUGUUCGGACAAAGAAGUACUGUCCGAGUACCCUACUAUGUGUUUUCCAGAUUUGAAUCUUCACCAAAACUAAAGUUUUGCACAACCAUUCAAUACAAUUUUUGAAAGGCACUUUGUACACACAAUAUACAACAUAUAUCCAUCAAUUUCACAGCCAACCAAGCAUCAAAAUUUCGAAAUAAAAACAGAACAACAUGGACAGAAUUUUCGGCCGGCUUGCCUUCACAAUUUUCCUUCGAUUUCUCUCCACUUUCUAACCAUAAACAUCUCAUUUAUCACAUAAACAACCAUAAUCAAACAAUCAAGCCUCAAGUCAGAUAUCUAGAGGCCUCAUCAAGACAGCUAACCUAUGAUUUAAAGCGAGAGAAAUGGUUCCUCAAGUCCGCUAGGCUAUAAACGCGAUUAGGGUUUCAAACCCAUGAAAAUUAACCGUUAAACUUCUUAUAAUUUGAAAGGUUAAAGACGUUGAGUGCUUACCCUUUAAAACCUUGAAAAAAACCAGAUUUUCCACCGAAAUUUCCUCCAAGAAAUUCCACAAGAUUGCUUCUUUCUCCAAGAUAGAAUGAAUCUCCAAGAAACUAGAAAGUUGGAUGAUGAUUUGUAGACAAAAUGGAAGCCAAAAGAAAUGGAGUUCUCUUCCUCCCUUUCUUUUCUUGCUGUUGGCCGAAAAUGGAGAGAGAGAAA
This 2919-nucleotide long non-coding RNA is filed under the name Coffea arabica (coffee). Its description in RNAcentral is "long non-coding RNA (CARA_LNC006279)". Lineage: Eukaryota; Viridiplantae; Streptophyta; Magnoliopsida; Gentianales; Rubiaceae. The record is from RNAcentral.